UUGCAGGAUCAACCAGGUAGCAUUCCUCACGGACAUCGGGUCGCAAGACGCGUAUCGUCAGUGCGGCACCGAACGUCAUUCGAAUGUGGCAUUCAUGCCAUUUUCUAGGCAACUUGGGAUCGAGGACCCCAUACCACUGCGUUUUCCGUAUCCCGAAGGUCGAGCGGGAGCCCAUGGGCCGCAACAACCGCGGCGUACGCGGGCGUUGCGGAACACGAGUCUCGCUUCAAGGUUCGACCGUAGCCGCGCCGUGUGAACGGGCAGCGCUAGUCGAACGUGAAACUGGUUAGCCGACACAAUUCCAUCACGUAGGCAUGCAACACAGGAAACCGACAACCACGGCCAAGGCAACUCGCUCUUGUGCCAACCAAUGAAGAGGAAUGCACGGGAGGACGUCGCUGCCCGAGCAGGGAUCCAACCAACCCAUACAAGA
RNAcentral lists this unclassified non-coding RNA (433 nucleotides) under Morinda royoc. Its description in RNAcentral is "partial external transcribed spacer". Lineage: Eukaryota; Viridiplantae; Streptophyta; Magnoliopsida; Gentianales; Rubiaceae. The record is from RNAcentral.